This 422-nucleotide ribosomal RNA is filed under the name uncultured bacterium. Its description in RNAcentral is "bacterial SSU rRNA". It matches the Rfam family "Bacterial small subunit ribosomal RNA", at positions 355 to 774 of the family's 1533-position model. The record is from RNAcentral.
UGAGGAAUAUUGGGCAAUGCCCGCAAGGGUGACCCAGCAACGCCGCGUGGAGGAUGAAUGUCGUAAGAUUGUAAACUCCUGUUAGAGGGGAAGAAUAGUACCGGUUGGACCGGUAUAUGACUGUACCCUCAGAGAAAGCCCCGGCUAACUACGUGCCAGCAGCCGCGGUAAUACGUAGGGGGCAAGCGUUGUCCGGAUUUACUGGGUGUAAAGGGCGCGCAGGCGGGAUAAAAAGUCAGUGGUGAAAUCCUACAGCUUAACUGUAGAAGUGCCUUUGAUACUUUUAUUCUUGAGUUCGGGAGAGAGAGACGGAAUUCCAGGUGUAGUGGUGAAAUACGUAGAUAUCUGGAAGAACACCAGUUGCGAAGGCGGUCUCUUGGUCCGACACUGACGCUGAGGCGCGAAAGCGUGGGGAGCAAACA